AAGCUCCCUUCGGGGAGCAAGUACAGUGGCGAACGGGUGAGUAACGGGUGGAAAACCUGCCCUUCAAUGGGGGAUAACAGUUCUAACGAGCUGCUAAUACCGCAUACGACCUUCGGAUCGCAUGUUCCGAAGGUGAAAGGUGGCCUCUCUUUGAAGCUGCCGUUGAAGGAUGGUUCCGCCUCCCAUUAGCUUGUUGGUGGGGUAAUGGCCUACCAAGGCGACGAUGGGUAGCCGGCCUGAGAGGGUGUCCGGCCACACUGGGACUGAGAUACGGCCCAGACUCCUACGGGAGGCAGCAGUCGAGAAGCUUCGGCAAUGGGCGAAAGCCUGACCGAGCGAUGCCGCGUGAGUGAAGAAGGCCCUAUGGGUUGUAAAGCUCUGUCAGAUUGGGAAGAAAAUCCUACGGUUAAUACCCGUGGGACUUGACGGUACCAUCAGAGGAAGCACCGGCUAACUCCGUGCCAGCAGCCGCGGUAAUACGGAGGGUGCAAGCGUUGUUCGGAUUCACUGGGUAUAAAGGGUGCGCAGGCGGCCCGAUAAGUCAGGGGUGAAAUAUGACGGCUCAACCGUCAAACUGCCCCUGAAACUGUCAGGCUUGAGUCCGGGAGAGGAAGGUGGAAUUCCAGGUGUAGCGGUGAAAUGCGUAAAUAUCUGGAGGA
Molecule: ribosomal RNA, 659 nt
Filed under: uncultured Pseudomonadota bacterium
Lineage: Bacteria; Pseudomonadati; Pseudomonadota
Description: bacterial SSU rRNA
Rfam family: Bacterial small subunit ribosomal RNA
Source: RNAcentral